This 164-nucleotide ribosomal RNA is filed under the name uncultured Stenotrophomonas sp. RNAcentral's name for it is "partial 16S ribosomal RNA". It matches the Rfam family "Bacterial small subunit ribosomal RNA", at positions 656 to 819 of the family's 1533-position model. The record is from RNAcentral. Lineage: Bacteria; Pseudomonadati; Pseudomonadota; Gammaproteobacteria; Lysobacterales; Lysobacteraceae.
GGGUAGCGGAAUUCCUGGUGUAGCAGUGAAAUGCGUAGAGAUCAGGAGGAACAUCCAUGGCGAAGGCAGCUACCUGGACCAACACUGACACUGAGGCACGAAAGCGUGGGGAGCAAACAGGAUUAGAUACCCUGGUAGUCCACGCCCUAAACGAUGCGAACUGG